CAGGACGAACGCUGGCGGCGUGCUUAACACAUGCAAGUCGAGCGGAGAAUAUAGCAAUAUAUUCUUAGCGGCGGACGGGUGAGUAACGCGUGGGCAAUCUGCCUCAUACAGGGGGAUAACACUGGGAAACUAGUGCUAAUACCGCAUAAAAUAGUGAAGUGGCAUCACUUUACUAUCAAAGGAGCAAUCCGGUGUGAGAUGAGCCCGCGUCCGAUUAGCUAGUUGGAGGGUAACGGCCCACCAAGGCGACGAUCGGUAGCCGAACUGAGAGGUUGAUCGGCCACAUUGGGACUGAGACACGGCCCAGACUCCUACGGGAGGCAGCAGUGGGGAAUAUUGCGCAAAUGGGGGAAACCCUGACGCAGCAACGCCGCGUGAAGGAUGAAGGUUUUCGGAUUGUAAACUUCUUUGAUUGGGGACGAUAAUGACGGUACCCAAAAAACAAGCCACGGCUAACUACGUGCCAGCAGCGGC
RNAcentral lists this ribosomal RNA (474 nucleotides) under uncultured bacterium. RNAcentral describes it as "bacterial SSU rRNA". It matches the Rfam family "Bacterial small subunit ribosomal RNA", at positions 25 to 518 of the family's 1533-position model. The record is from RNAcentral.